CCAACGGGUGGCAGCAGUGGGGAAUUUUGCGCAAUGGGCGAAAGCCUGACGCAGCAACGCCGCGUGGGUGAUGAAGGUCUUCGGAUCGUAAAACCCUGUCGUCAGGGACGAAGGUUUCGGGCCGAACAGGUUCGGGACUUGACGGUACCUGGAGAGGAAGCCCCGGCUAACUCUGUGCCAGCAGCCGCGGUAAUACAGAGGGGGCGAGCGUUAUUCGGAAUUAUUGGGCGUAAAGGGCGCGUAGGCGGUGUCUUAAGUGGGAUGUGCAAUCCCCGGGCUUAACCUGGGAACUGCAUCCCAGACUGGGACGCUAGAGUGCUGGAGAGGGUGGUAGAAUUCCACGUGUAGCGGUGAAAUGCGUAGAGAUGUGGAGGAAUACCAGUGGCGAAGGCGGCCACCUGGACAGCAACUGACGCUGAGGCGCGAAAGUGUGGGUAGCAAACA
This 444-nucleotide ribosomal RNA is filed under the name uncultured prokaryote. RNAcentral describes it as "bacterial SSU rRNA". It matches the Rfam family "Bacterial small subunit ribosomal RNA", at positions 338 to 774 of the family's 1533-position model. The record is from RNAcentral.